Long non-coding RNA from Leptonychotes weddellii (Weddell seal), 336 nucleotides. RefSeq lists it as uncharacterized. NCBI's taxonomy places the organism in Eukaryota, Metazoa, Chordata, Mammalia, Carnivora, Phocidae. The record is from RefSeq and is a predicted model, not a curated record.
UUUAAAUUGGUGUAUGCCAACAGUUAACCCAAGGGACUCACCAGAUGACCACCAUCAGAGGCACAUGAACAGACUAGACUACUUGUUUCCUCUCCCAGAAUAGGAAAGGAGUCUCCACCCAUCAAACCCGAGUAUGGCAGAAUGGCAUCAUGAAUGAAAGUACAGACUGUGGCUGGACAUCUGCCCACAUAUGGAUUACCAUUUAAUAGUUGUGUUAACUUAAGGUCAUCAUCUCAGGGUUGAGAUCAAGCCCAACAUCUGGCUCCAAUGCUGGCCAUGGAACCUGCUUCUCUCUCCCCCAUGGAGCGCCCGGGUGGCUCAGUCAUUAAGCAUCUG